GACGAACGCUGGCGGCGCGCCUAACACAUGCAAGUCGAACGAGCGAGAGAGAGCUUGCUUUCUUGAGCGAGUGGCGAACGGGUGAGUAACGCGUGAGGAACCUGCCUCAAAGAGGGGGACAACAGUUGGAAACGACUGCUAAUACCGCAUAAGCCCACGGUGCCGCAUGGCACAGAGGGAAAAGGAGCAAUCCGCUUUGAGAUGGCCUCGCGUCCGAUUAGCUAGUUGGUGAGGUAACGGCUCACCAAGGCGACGAUCGGUAGCCGGACUGAGAGGUUGAACGGCCACAUUGGGACUGAGACACGGCCCAGACUCCUACGGGAGGCAGCAGUGGGGAAUAUUGCACAAUGGGGGAAACCCUGAUGCAGCGACGCCGCGUGGAGGAAGAAGGUCUUCGGAUUGUAAACUCCUGUUGUUGGGGAAGAUAAUGACGGUACCCAACAAGGAAGUGACGGCUAACUACGUG
Molecule: ribosomal RNA, 466 nt
Filed under: uncultured bacterium
Lineage: Bacteria
Description: partial 16S ribosomal RNA
Rfam family: Bacterial small subunit ribosomal RNA
Source: RNAcentral